RNAcentral lists this ribosomal RNA (272 nucleotides) under uncultured bacterium. RNAcentral's name for it is "partial 16S ribosomal RNA". It matches the Rfam family "Bacterial small subunit ribosomal RNA", at positions 793 to 1055 of the family's 1533-position model. The record is from RNAcentral.
GUCCUAGCCGUAAACGGUGAUCACUAGGUGUUGGGGGCGAUUGACCCCUCCCAGUGCCGCAGCUAACGCAUUAAGUGAUCCGCCUGGGGAGGUACGGCCGCAAGGUUGAAACUCAAAGGAAAUUGACGGGGGCCCCGGCACAAGCGGUGGAGCAUGUGGUUUAAUUUCGACGCAACGCGAAGAAACCUUACCCCAGACUUGACAUGCAAUGGACGGGUGUGGAAACACACCUUCCCUUCGGGGCCGUUGCACAGGUGCUGCAUGGCUGUCGU